This 360-nucleotide ribosomal RNA is filed under the name Triticum aestivum (bread wheat). Its description in RNAcentral is "partial small subunit ribosomal RNA". The record is from RNAcentral. Lineage: Eukaryota; Viridiplantae; Streptophyta; Magnoliopsida; Poales; Poaceae.
AUGUCCCUUCUAUUUAGAAGACCUCCCGGCCGUGAGGCUUAUCCAGGCGAUGUUUUUUAUUUGCAUUCACGCCUUUUAGAAAGAGCCGCUAAAUUAAAUUCUCUUUUAGGCGAAGGAAGUAUGACCGCUUUACCAAUAGUUGAGACUCAAUCUGGAGACAUUUCCGCCUAUGUUCCUACUAAUGUAAUCUCCAUUACAGAUGGACAAAUAUUCUUAUCUGCGGAUCUAUUCCAUGCCGGAAUUCGACCCGCUAUUAAUGUGGGUAUUUCUGUUUCCAGAGUAGGAUCCGCGGCUCAAAUUAAAGCCAUGAAACAAGUAGCUGGCAAAUCCAAAUUGGAACUAGCUCAAUUCGUAGAGUGA